Carica papaya (papaya) is the source of this 505-nucleotide non-coding RNA. NCBI's taxonomy places the organism in Eukaryota, Viridiplantae, Streptophyta, Magnoliopsida, Brassicales, Caricaceae. The record is from RefSeq and is a predicted model, not a curated record.
CUCUCUCUCUCUCUCUCUCUCUCUCUCUCUCUCUCUCAUGCAGCUUUGUAAGGAAAGAAGAGAGCAGGAAGGUUUACGCAGCUUGUUCAAGAAUGAAUCUUGAUCAGUUGGGGGGGGUGGGGUGGGGGAGAGAAGAGAUGACACAUGAAAUGUUAAUCAAGAUCUGCUUUUGCCUUAACCCACAUGCUUAACCCCUUGAAUAGAGAGUGAAAUUUAUGUUUUCAGAUGCUUUAUUUGAAGCAGGCAAGAUGGAUGUAGUGCCUAUCCGAUGCCUCAUCAACAGUAUUUCUCGAUUUGUUCAUCUUGUCUCUUGUCAGACUAUAAAAGUUACAGCUCUUCAAAUGGACUACAAGAGUAUGGCUGUUGUCUUGAAACUCUUGAAAUCAGUCCUUGAUGAAGUUGUUGAAUCCAAGAUACCUUCAGAUGUUAUCCUAUAUAAAGAGUGUGAAAACCUAGAUAUGGCUGUUAAUGAGGCACGUGAAUUCGUAGAGAACUGGUCUCCGAA